Molecule: long non-coding RNA, 948 nt
Organism: Felis catus (domestic cat)
Lineage: Eukaryota; Metazoa; Chordata; Mammalia; Carnivora; Felidae
Exons: 2
Source: RefSeq, a predicted model, not a curated record
UUUGAUCUGGUUCAUAUAUAGGUACAGACUUAUCAAUGUAUACUUGAUGGUACAUAACUUAUACCUCAGCUAGAAAAUGUAAAUGACUAAAAUUACUAUGUGGAGUCAGUCUCUGUUGGAAGGUAAGAAGGCUUUUGGAGAGAAAUUAUGAACCAUUUUGCUACUCCUUCUUUCCUGCUCUCACACCCUCCCCUCACCACCCCCCUCCACGGCCUCUCUCUAAAUGGGAACUUCUUGUCCCUCAACAUUCCUUGAUUCUAUUCCUUUACUCCUUCAUUGGAACCCCUACCUCUAGAAUAGUGGGGUCAGGCACUAUUCUAGAAACUUGAGGGUGCAACCUAACUCUCAGCCCUCCUUUGUGCAGUAAACAGGUAUUUAACAUAUGCUUUGAGGCCCCUCCUCUACCAGCACUAAGCAUUUUUCUCAAGCAGGUCCAAGUGGUAAAGAGCUGGCAAAGAAUAUCUGGAAUAGAUAACCCUUCUCCACCUGUGGUUCAAGAAAGGAGAAAGCUGUCUACUAGGUGCUGGUAUCCAUUUAUUCCUCUACAACAGAGCCCACAUAGCUGGAAGGCAGCAGGGGUAGAGUUGAAACCCAGGCUAGGAUAUAAAAGACAUUGUGACUUCCACCUUGCUCUGCCUUGAAUUACCCACUUUGUGGAAGCCAGCCGCCAUGUUGUAAGGACACUCAAGCAGCCUAGGGAGAGUGCCAUGUGGUGAGAAAUUGAGACCUCUUGCCAACAGCCAGCCCCAAAUUGCCAGCCACAUGAAUGAACCACCUUGGAAGCAGCUCCUCUAGCCUCAGUCGGACUUUCAGAUAACUGCAGCCCUAGCUGACAUCUUGACUGCCACCCCAUGAGAGACUCCAGGCCAGAAUCAGCCAGCCAAGCCACUCCAAGCUUUCUGACCCAUGGAAGCUGUAUGAGAUAAUAAAUGUUUGUUGCUGCUUUAA